GUGAGUGGCGGACGGGUGAGUAACACGUGGGUAACCUGCCCUAAAGUGGGGGAUAACAUUUGGAAACAGAUGCUAAUACCGCAUAAAACCUAACACCGCAUGGUGUAGGGUUGAAAGAUGGUUUCGGCUAUCACUUUAGGAUGGACCCGCGGUGCAUUAGUUAGUUGGUGAGGUAAAGGCUCACCAAGACCGUGAUGCAUAGCCGACCUGAGAGGGUAAUCGGCCACACUGGGACUGAGACACGGCCCAGACUCCUACGGGAGGCAGCAGUAGGGAAUCUUCCACAAUGGACGAAAGUCUGAUGGAGCAACGCCGCGUGAGUGAAGAAGGUUUUCGGAUCGUAAAACUCUGUUGUUGGAGAAGAAUGUAUCUGAUAGUAACUGAUCAGGUAGUGACGGUAUCCAACCAGAAAGCCACGGCUAACUACGUGCCAGCAGCCGCGGUAAUACGUAGGUGGCAAGCGUUGUCCGGAUUUAUUGGGCGUAAAGCGAGCGCAGGCG
Molecule: ribosomal RNA, 500 nt
Filed under: Latilactobacillus sakei
Lineage: Bacteria; Bacillati; Bacillota; Bacilli; Lactobacillales; Lactobacillaceae
Description: bacterial SSU rRNA
Rfam family: Bacterial small subunit ribosomal RNA
Source: RNAcentral